This 1191-nucleotide ribosomal RNA is filed under the name Synura mollispina. RNAcentral's name for it is "bacterial LSU rRNA". It matches the Rfam family "Bacterial large subunit ribosomal RNA", at positions 71 to 1254 of the family's 2925-position model. Lineage: Eukaryota; Synurophyceae; Synurales; Mallomonadaceae. The record is from RNAcentral.
AACGUUUCGGGGAGUUGGAGUAAGCUUUGAUCCGAAAAUAUCCGAAUGAGGAAACUCUCUAACUUCUUACUGAAUCUAUAAGUAAAGAAAGAGUGAACCUAGGGAAUUGAAACAUCUUAGUACCUAGAGGAAAAGAAAGUAAAAACGAUUCCCGGAGUAGUGGCGAACGAAAUGGGAUCAGCCUAAACUUUUAGUAGUUUUAUUAAAAGGGUUGUGGGGUAAAGAAAUCUGAAAAGAGAAAAAGAAAUUAAAGAAAUUUUAUUUCGACUUAAAAAUUAGGUGAAAUAACUGGAAAGUUAUACCAAAGAAAGUGAUAGUCUUGUAACCAAAAAUUUUUAAAAACUUUUUAUUCCCGAGUAGCAUGGGACACGUGGAAUCCCGUGUGAAUCUGCGAGGACCACCUCGUAAGGCUAAAUAUUCCUGGAUGUCCGAUAGCGAAUAGUACCGCGAGGGAAAGGUGAAAAGAACCCCGGGAGGGGAGUGAAAUAGAACGUGAAAUUGCAUGCCUACAAACAGAAGGAGAACGACUUAGCGUUUAACUUCGUGCCUGUUGAAGAAUGUUCCGGCGACUUAUAGUUAGUGGCAGGUUAAGAUAGAGAUAUCGGAGCCAGAGUGAAAGCGAGCUUGAAUAGAGCGUUAGUCACUAGUUAUAGACCCGAACCCGGUUGAUCUAACCAUGGCCAGGAUGAAACUUAGGUAACACUGAGUGGAGGUCCGAACCGACUGAUGUUGAAAAAUCAGCGGAUGAGCUGUGGUUAGGGGUGAAAUGCCAAUCGAAACCGGAGCUAGCUGGUUCUCCCCGAAAUGUAUUUAGGUGCAGCGGUUAAUAUUAUAGCGUAGGGGUAAAGCACUGUUUCGGUGCGGGCUGGUAAUUCGGUACCAAAUCGAGGCAAACUCUGAAUACUACGUGUACAGUUAACCAGUAAGACUAUGGGGGAUAAGCUUCAUAGUCAAGAGGGAAACAGCCCAGAUCACCAGCUAAGGCCCCUAAAUAAUUACUAAGUGAUAAAGGAAGUGGAAAGGCUUAGACAACCAGGAGGUUUGCUUAGAAGCAGCAAUCCUUUAAAAAGUGCGUAAUAGCUUACUGGUCUAGCAAUUCUGCGCCGAAAACUUAUGGGACUAAGUAAUUUGCCGAAGCUGUGAGAUAAAUUUUUAAUUUAUCGGUAGGGGAGCGUUCUGUUGUAGAAUGAA